RNAcentral lists this long non-coding RNA (458 nucleotides) under Mytilus galloprovincialis (Mediterranean mussel). Lineage: Eukaryota; Metazoa; Mollusca; Bivalvia; Mytilida; Mytilidae. The record is from RNAcentral.
GGCGCCAACAAACUAGUUUUAUCCCCGCCGCAAAGUAAAUGAUGUAAGUGCAUGUUCAAAAUCCUGUGUACAGUGGUUGUCGUUGGUUGUUGCGUCACACAUUGUGUUCGUUCAUUUUUUUGUACAUAAAUUAGGCCGUUACUUUUUUACUGUUUUAAAUUGUUUUACAACUGUAAUUUUAGGGCCCUUUAUAGCUGUCUAUGUGGUAUGAGUUUUGGUCAUUGUUGAAAGCCGUUGGGUGAAUUAUAGCUGUUUUGUUCUGUUCUCUCAUUUGGUACUCAUACUACAUCUGUCAGACGAUUUCGUAAAAUGUCCUGGUGUUUUAGAGUGUUUUUUUUUUUUAGAUAAAUAUCAAUAGCCGAAUUUUCACACCGUCUAUUAACCUGCUGUUUAAGAUUAUUUUUUGUUUUAAUUAACAUUAUUAACCAUGGUAUACUUAAAAUUAAACAUAUUUUUUC